RNAcentral lists this ribosomal RNA (450 nucleotides) under uncultured bacterium. Its description in RNAcentral is "partial 16S ribosomal RNA". It matches the Rfam family "Bacterial small subunit ribosomal RNA", at positions 354 to 796 of the family's 1533-position model. The record is from RNAcentral.
GUGGGGAAUCUUCCGCAAUGGACGAAAGUCUGACGGAGCAACGCCGCGUGAGUGAAGAAGGUUUUCGGAUCGUAAAGCUCUUUCGUUAGGGACGAACGUGCUCUUUGUGAAUAAUGAGGAGUAAUGACGGUACCUAAAUAAGAAGCCACGGCUAACUACGUGCCAGCAGCCGCGGUAAUACGUAGGUGGCAAGCGUUGUCCGGAAUUAUUGGGCGUAAAGCGCGCGCAGGCGGGAUAUCAAGUCUGUCUUAAAAGUGCGAGGCUCAACCUCGUGAGGGGACAGAAACUGGUAUUCUUGAGGGUCGGAGAGGAAAGUGGAAUUCCAAGUGUAGCGGUGAAAUGCGUAGAGAUUUGGAAGAACACCAGUGGCGAAGGCGACUUUCUGGACGAUGUCUGACGCUGAGGCGCGAAAGCUAGGGGAGCGAACGGGAUUAGAAACCCGGGUAGUCC